GAGGUGUACAGUAAUGAUGCAGAGCAAAAUCAGUAGUUUGUAAUCUUAGAGUGUUUAUUUACACUGAUACUCACUUAUUUUUUUCUCAUCUGUUUCAGCCGAACAAACUUGUUCACCUUGGAGCUACAAAUACUGGUGAUUUGAGAUUUGAGCUCAUCCUCCACUGUUCCUGCACAAGCAAGGACCAGAAAAAUGAAUAUCCAGGGGAAAGGCUUCCCCUUGGACCUCGGAGGAAGCUUCACUGAAGAUGCUCCGAGGCCACCUGUGCCUGGUGAGGAGGGGGAACUCGUGUCCACAGAUCCAAGGCCAGUUAACCACGGUUUCUACUCCGGUAAAAGCGAUGUGGUUAGAAAUGAGAUGUCCACAGCAACACCGAGGCGUUCCGAUUUGGAUUUGGGGUACGAGCCCGAGGGGAGUGCUUCGCCAACUCCACCCUACCUGAAGUGGGCCGAGUCCCUGCACUCCUUGCUGGAUGAUCAAGAUGGUAUCAACCUCUUCAGGACUUUCCUGAAACAGGAGGACUGUGCGGAUCUGCUGGACUUUUGGUUUGCCUGCAGCGGCUUCAGGAAGCUGGAGCCGUGCGUGUCUAACGAGGAAAAAAGACUCAAGCUGGCAAAAGCCAUUUACAAAAAAUACAUCCUCGACAACAACGGCAUUGUGUCCCGGCAGAUCAAACCAGCCACAAAAAGCUUCAUCAAAGACUGCGUCAUGAAACUGCAGAUUGACCCCGACAUGUUUGACCAGGCCCAAACGGAGAUUCAGUGCAUGAUAGAAGACAAUACCUACCCUUUGUUCCUUAAGUCGGAUAUUUAUUUGGAAUACACAAGGACAGGUGGGGAAAGUCCAAAAAUUUAUAGUGAUCCGAGCUCAGGGUCUGGGACAGGUAAAGGGCUACCUGGUUAUCUGCCGACUCUGAACGAGGACGAGGAGUGGAAGUGUGACCAAGAGGCCGAGCCCGAGGCCAGCAGGGACUCGGCGCCUUCCAGCAGGCUCACGCAGAAGCUGCUUCUGGAACCGGCCACCCAGCGUGCUGCCUCGGCUCGGCGCUACAGCGAGGGGAGGGAGUUCAGGCAUGGGUCGUGGAGGGAGCCUGUUAACCCUUACUAUGUCAACACGGGCUAUGCUUUGGCACCAGCGACCAGUGCCAAUGACAGCGAGCAGCAGAGCAUGUCCAGUGAUGCCGAUACGAUGUCGCUGACAGACAGCAGCGU
Non-coding RNA from Leptosomus discolor (cuckoo roller), 1211 nucleotides. The record is from RefSeq and is a predicted model, not a curated record. NCBI's taxonomy places the organism in Eukaryota, Metazoa, Chordata, Aves, Leptosomiformes, Leptosomidae.